Molecule: long non-coding RNA, 4100 nt
Organism: Daphnia pulicaria
Lineage: Eukaryota; Metazoa; Arthropoda; Branchiopoda; Diplostraca; Daphniidae
Exons: 16
Source: RefSeq, a predicted model, not a curated record
AAAUCCGACCAGUAGUAUGCCGGAUGAGUCAAAUAAGAGAUCUUCACUUGACUUACGGUUCAGGGUUCAUCAUUUGGGCUCGUCAAGUUGCGAGGCAGCAACGUGCCUACAACAUACCUAAAUGAAGGGAAUUGAACAUGUCGAAAUUAGGGCUAGGAGAACCCUGUCAAAAUUGUCGAAGAUAAAAAACAGGAGGUUAGCUGAUGCUGGACGUUACCCAAACAAGGAUGGUGAAGCAGUCACGUCCUGUCCUCUUUUCCAAUUGCUGACUCUCUAAGAAGAACAUCCCAGUGAAUCGACAUGGCUGUUCAGUUACAUGUCAACCGGAUCUUUCACAGGACUUUUUCAGCCGCAACGUUGGUGGACGAUAACCCUGGGACAGGUCAAGCUGAAUUAGCCACAUAGGGCAAACCUCUAAGAGAAAACAUCAAACAAAGAGAAAACAAAUCAUAUUGUUGGAAAAUGGCUAGUGACCGCAUUCUAGGAAUAAGCCGGGUGUAUUAUCUACGCUAUCUCAAAAUAACCUAACAAGGUGAUAAUGAUGAUGAUGAUUGAAUGAUUGACAUGAUUUUGGAAUUAGAUCCCCCCCUCCUCCGCAUGCAUGAAGCAACAUUUGAAAUUAGCACUACCACUUACUUAAAUGAGUUUACUUGCAUAAUAGGGAGAUGAUGUUGUCAAGCCACCGUCUUCACAAGGAUUAAAGGGGAAGAGAGACAAAAUAACUGUCAAGGCUGUUCGCUACCAAACGAUGGAUCAUGGACCGGAGAGGAUCGCCGCCGCCACUACAAGAUAGGACCCUGGCCCACGGGUCGAAGACUGGAGAGGAUCGCCGCCGCCACCGACGCCGCCGCCGCCGCCACCACCACCGGAGCCGCUUCAAGAUCGCCGCACGCUAGGACCUUCGCCAAUGGAUGUCAGGUAUAUUGUUUUAUUCUAAGUGUCUAACCAUACUUUUUUUCAUGUACUCUAGAUGGGACCCAGGACCAAGGAGGAUAGCCGCCGCCACUACAAGAUCGUCGCUUCAAGAUAGGACCCUGGCCCACGGGUCGAAGACUGGAGAGGAUCGCCGCCGCCACCGACACCGCCGCCGCCGCCACCACCACCACCGGAGCCGCUUCAAGAUCGCCGCACGCUAGGACCUUCGCCAAUGGAUGUCAGGUAUAUUGUUUUAUUCUAAGUGUCUAACCAUACUUUUUUUCAUGUACUCUAGAUGGGACCCAGGACCAAGGAGGAUAGCCGCCGCCACUACAAGAUCGUCGCUUCAAGAUAGGACCCUGGCCCACGGGUCGAAGACUGGAGAGGAUCGCCGCCGCCACCGACACCGCCGCCGCCGCCACCACCACCACCGGAGCCGCUUCAAGAUCGCCGCACGCUAGGACCUUCGCCAAUGGAUGUCAGGUAUAUUGUUUUAUUCUAAGUGUCUAACCAUACUUUUUUUCAUGUACUCUAGAUGGGACCCAGGACCAAGGAGGAUAGCCGCCGCCACUACAAGAUCGUCGCUUCAAGAUAGGACCCUGGCCCACGGGUCGAAGGUAAAUUUCAUUUGAUUUUAAAUGCCUCAAACUUCUUUUAUUAAUGUUUUUUUAUUUUAUUUAGACUCGAGAGGAUCGCCGCCGCCACCGACGCCGUCGCCGCCGCCACCACCACCACCACCGGAGGCGCUUCAAGAUCGCCGCACGCUAGGACCUUCGCCAAUGGAUGUCAGGUAUAUUGUUUUAUUCUAAGUGUCUAACCAUAUUUUUUUUUAUGUACUAUAGAUGGGACCCAGGACAAAGGAGGAUCGCCGCCGCCACUACAAGAUCGUCUCCGCCGCAGCAAAGGACUUCGAAGAUCUUUAAAUGUAUGGUUUCUUCCAACAACAAUUGGGAAGAGUAAUGUAGCAAGAAAGUAAAAAGUGAUAAAAUUGCAGUUUGAAUCUGGUUCAGACAUGGACGAUCCUAAAGUUUAAAUUUAACUAGGUAAUAAGAAAGAGCUUGUGGAAUACAGGCUAAAGAUGAAAUACAAGAUUGGUGUUCCAAACCAAUCAGCAGUAUAUAAUGUGAUUCAAGAAAAUUGAUCGUAACAUCAUCCAAACCAACCUAAGAUUUAUUGUUAAACCAGAAAAAGAAGAUUUCAUUCACAUUCAGUGACAAUAGUUGAAGAUGAGUUGUCCCGCCAAGAUCAAAUUGAUACAGAACUUGACACUUGUAACUUCAAGCAACUGUUGAACUUGGGUAGCCAAGUUUGAAAAGGAUUUCAAAGGAUUUGAAUAAAGAAAAUUCAAGACAUUUGAGAAAGAGCAGAGCCACGCAAAUCCAAUGGGUAAAUAAUGGUUAAUGGACUAGAGAUCUCAUUCAUUGGCGCCUUCCGCGAGUUAUUGGUCUCGCUCUACGACGAUAUAAGAAAAUGCCGCCUAUGUAAGGCGUUGAUAAAGCUGCAAUCAUCCCCUGAUUGCUGAAGAACAAGAGAUCCAGGCCUUCUAUUUAAUGGCAUCACGCAUCACCCCAUUGAUGUCACGUAACACGAGUCUAACACAAAUUGCUGGAUUAGAUUGCCGACUACGUAAACGGACCUCAGGCGAGAGACGAUUUCAAAAAUGGUUUAUACCGACUGCUAAUUCAGAUGAAUCUGGAUUAAGAAUUUGAUAACAAAGCUGGACCGUCAAAAGCCUUCCAUUAAUCCCUGCUGAAAAAUGAAACUUUCUUCUGGGCCUACGCUAGAAGAGUCUGUAAAGAGAUGGACUGUCCGUACAACUAGAACUCGCCCGAAAAAAACUGGCCGACUUUGAUUAGUCUCUAUACGCUCACGUGUCCGCUGAAGAAGUCGAAAGUUUUAUCUGUGAUCACGAGAUCGGCAGGCAGUGCUACUGGAGAAGAUUUUGCACUUGACUUCAUCCCCGAAUUUGUUUUCAUAGAAGACUUGGAAUCGGGGAAUUCUGUGGUGGUCCUUGAGCGAAAAUCGAUAGUUUUGGCAGCCAUCGUCUCUUCCGCCCCAAUUACAGGAACUCAUCCUUGCCGAUUUGUUUGAAUUACAUGAGAAAAACUGAAGUUUGGCCCAGGCUCGGUCUGCUCUAAUUUCUUCCACUACACGUUUUCCCUCGUAAUACCGAGCAAAUUACCUGUUAUUAUAAGCAAAGUUGUGAAAUUGUUCGCAUUCAUAUUCAGACUUCCUAAACUGAAAUUAAAAACAAAACAUUAUAGUCAGGUUUUGAAUUUUGAUGUUGGCUUAAUUAGCUGAAUUGACAUCUGUGAGGCAUUUCUUAGAAUGUGAUGGCCGAUGGGUUUUAGCUGGUUCGGGUUAUGGCGCCUUGGCGGUUCGUGAGCUUGCUAUUAUUCUUGACAAAUUUUGAUGUUGAAAGACUUGGAAACCAUGCUGUCGACCACGUCGAGAAGCUGAGUAACAGUCUGCUUUUACAAUGGUACCUCUUAAUAAAAGGAACUUAAGCCAUCCAAUCUAGGGCUUCCAUCAAAUCGUGCAGGCUGCAUGGAAGUUGCAUUUACCUUUGCUGUGAACAUCAUGAACACAUACACUAUUUAAAGGUUCAUGUUUACGUAGCAGUGGUGUUGCUGUCCAAUGUGGCGUGUUGUUGCAGCCUUUGGUGGUGAAAGAUAUCUGCAUCAAGUUGCUGUUCCUUGUGAUCCAAGGUACUGCUUUUGUGCUACAGAAGUGACAUCCAAUAUUGUGUUUAAUUGCUAUUUGUGUCUUGUUUACCUUUACAUAUUGAUAAGGAACAAAAAAAUAGUAAAACGGGAAGGUCUAUGUCAAACAAAUAAUAAACCAGAUUGGGGGAAUGAGGAGGAAGUUGGGGUGGGGUAUUUGGUUAUGAUUUACGAAAAUAAGUGAGGUAUAUUUUUAAUGAAUUGCAGUACUUCUGUUAAAUCGAUAAAUCUGUUGCUAAUCUAUACCUUCCCCUUACACAUCCUUUCCUCAAACCCCAUAAGCACCAACAUCAAAUCCCAAAUCCAAUCACAUCAAUUCCCAUAACCCCACAAUCUCCAACAUCAAAUAAACACAAUUUUUGUAUAUCUAUAAUUAAUUGUAUAUAAAAUGUGUAAUUAUUUGAACACAUGCAAAAUAAACAAUUCAUUAAACAGAGCGUCCGGUUCAAAACCAUUUUUUUU